CGCGUAGGCGGCAUGUUAAGUCAGAGGUGAAAGAUCGGAGCUCAACUCCGAAACUGCCUUUGAUACUGGCAAGCUUGAAUUAGGUUGAGGUUAGCGGAAUGUGACAUGUAGCGGUGAAAUGCUUAGAUAUGUCAUAGAACACCAAUUGCGAAGGCAGCUAACUAGGCCUAUAUUGACGCUCAGGCACGAAAGCGUGGGGAGCGAACAGGAUUAGAUACCCUGGUAGUCC
RNAcentral lists this ribosomal RNA (229 nucleotides) under uncultured bacterium. RNAcentral's name for it is "partial 16S ribosomal RNA". It matches the Rfam family "Bacterial small subunit ribosomal RNA", at positions 568 to 796 of the family's 1533-position model. The record is from RNAcentral.